GAUGAACGCUGGCGGCGUGCCUAACACAUGCCAGUCGAGCGAUUUACUUCGGUAAAGAGCGGCGGACGGGUGAGUAACGCGUGGGUAACCUGCCCUGUACACACUGAUAACAUACCGAAAGGUAUGCUAAUACGAGAUAAUAUGCUUUUAUCGCAUGGUAGAAGUAUCAAAGCUUUUGCGGUACAGGAUGGACCCGCGUCUGAUUAGCUAGUUGGUGAGGUAACGGCUCACCAAGGCGACGAUCAGUAGCCGACCUGAGAGGGUGAUCGGCCACAUUGGAACUGAGACACGGUCCAAACUCCUACGGGAGGGAGCAGUGGGGAAUAUUGCACAAUGGGCGAAAGCCUGAUGCAGCAACGCCGCGUGAGCGAUGAAGGCCUUCGGGUCGUAAAGCUCUGUCCUCAAGGAAGAUAAUGACGGUACUUGAGGAGGAAGCCCCGGCUAACUACGUGC
This 453-nucleotide ribosomal RNA is filed under the name uncultured bacterium. RNAcentral's name for it is "partial 16S ribosomal RNA". It matches the Rfam family "Bacterial small subunit ribosomal RNA", at positions 28 to 508 of the family's 1533-position model. The record is from RNAcentral.